This 318-nucleotide long non-coding RNA is filed under the name Mytilus galloprovincialis (Mediterranean mussel). The record is from RNAcentral. Lineage: Eukaryota; Metazoa; Mollusca; Bivalvia; Mytilida; Mytilidae.
UACACAUUUUUUGUUUAAGGGUCAGCUGAAUACCGACUACGUGUACGAUAUUUUUCCGCCGUGAUUAAGACCAUUUGGUGGCCUUGGCCUGUUCUACUCAUGUUCGGGCUGUUUUCACUGAUACAUUACCCAUUUCCAUUCUCGAUUUGAGUUAUAACGACUGUUUGGAAUAGAUCGUAUAUAAAAGAGGGGCCAAAGAUACCAGACAUUCAAACUUAUAGAUCGAAAAUAAACUGACAACGCCAUGGCUAAAAAAGAAAAGGACAAACAGACAAAUAAUAGUACACAAGACACAUCAAAGAAAACUAUAGACUAAGC